UGUCCGCGAGCCUGAUCUUUCUCGGUUGUGUGACAAGAACCUGACUUUUCCUGCAGCACAAGGAGAGAGGCACUUUGAGGUUUUCCAAGCUCUCGUCCUAUCUAUGCUUUGGGCGCUGAACAGGGAGGGGACCGUGAUGCCAUGCAUGGCCAACAGCAACGGAUGCCAAGCAAGGCUCAUGGCAUAAGACAGACUCGAGGAACUAAGCAGUGGUCACAGGCAGAGGGAGUUAGCAGUGGAGCUGACUGCAUUGGAAAGCCUUGGGAAAACAGCACGGAAAAUAACAGGCGGCCGGAGCCACGGCCAGGUUGGUGUUCCAUUAACCAAGUCGCUG
Molecule: long non-coding RNA, 334 nt
Filed under: Homo sapiens (human)
Lineage: Eukaryota; Metazoa; Chordata; Mammalia; Primates; Hominidae
Description: HSALNT0304692
Source: RNAcentral